UGGGUUGCUUGAAGGUUAUUGCACAAAAUGUUUCAGAAGACGAAAUCAAGGCCUUGAAACAAACGUUCAAAAGCAUGGAUACCGAUGGGAGUGGCUCAAUCACAUACGAUGAACUCAAAGCUGGAUUGACUAAGCUGGGCUCAAAGCUUACUAAAUCAGAAAUAAUAGCGCUUAUGGAUGCUAUUAUGGAUUGACUAGGCUGAGGAGGGAAAGAUUUUUACUUUGUUGCGCUUAUGGAUUAGGAGGGAAAGAUUUAUUCUGUAAAGGAAGUUAGGCCUCCACAAAUCCCUGAGGAUCCUAAUCCUCUUAUUAAGAGUGCAAAACUUCGAGCGCCAACUCAUAUUAUCUCUACAAAUUCCGGUGUCAAAGGUGAAAAGUCAUGAUACACUGGUAUCCUUAUGCCUUCCAUCGUUGAACAGGAGUAUGGAGUGGGUGAUGUUAUUUUCCUGUUGUGGUUCAAACGCAGCCUCCCCCAUUACUGCACAAAGUUUAUUGAGAUCUGCAUAAUGUUAUGUGCCGACCAUGGUCCCUGUGU
Rhododendron vialii is the source of this 535-nucleotide long non-coding RNA. RefSeq lists it as uncharacterized. The transcript has 3 exons. NCBI's taxonomy places the organism in Eukaryota, Viridiplantae, Streptophyta, Magnoliopsida, Ericales, Ericaceae. The record is from RefSeq and is a predicted model, not a curated record.